AUGACCUUACUUGAACAGGAUCUGUUCUAUAGGCUUGUUCCACCUUAUCCUUGAGUUCUAAAGAGACACAAAACCAAGUCUAGCCGAUCUAUCCAAGAUA
Molecule: small nucleolar RNA, 100 nt
Filed under: Nicotiana attenuata
Lineage: Eukaryota; Viridiplantae; Streptophyta; Magnoliopsida; Solanales; Solanaceae
Description: snoRNA Plant_U3
Source: RNAcentral